AACGAACGCUGGCGGCAUGCCUAACACAUGCAAGUCGAACGAGACCUUCGGGUCUUGUGGCGCACGGGUGCGUAACGCGUGGGAACCUGCCCUUAGGUUCGGAAUAACUCCCCGAAUGGGGUGCUAAUACCGGAUAAUGUCUUCGGACCAAAGAUUUAUCGCCUUUGGUUGGGCCCGCGUUGGAUUAGCUAGUUGGUAGGGUAAAAGCCUACCAAGGCGACGAUCCAUAGCUGGUCUGAGAGGAUGAUCAGCCACACUGGGACUGAGACACGACACAGACUCCUGCGGGAUGCGGCAGUGGGGAAUAUUGGACAAUGGGCGGAAGCCUGAUCCAGCAAUGCCGCGUGAGUGAUGAAGGCCUUAGGGUUGUAAAGCUCUUUUACCCGGGAUGAUAAUGACAGUACCGGGAGAAUAAGCUCCGGCUAACUCCGUG
Molecule: ribosomal RNA, 433 nt
Filed under: uncultured bacterium
Lineage: Bacteria
Description: partial 16S ribosomal RNA
Rfam family: Bacterial small subunit ribosomal RNA
Source: RNAcentral